Molecule: long non-coding RNA, 331 nt
Organism: Engraulis encrasicolus (European anchovy)
Lineage: Eukaryota; Metazoa; Chordata; Actinopteri; Clupeiformes; Engraulidae
Exons: 3
Source: RefSeq, a predicted model, not a curated record
GUAUUCAGUUCUUGUGUCUACCGGGAUGGUGCUCUGCUUGUACAGGGGAACAGAUCAGCAGGUGAACAACAGAACUAAGAUUGGAGAUGAUUGUGUGUUCAGAGUCAUCGAUGUUGUGGGUGGUAAUCCGUUUGGAUUAGCUGUUGCAGCGUUCCUGGGGAUGUUAAUGGCUGGGCCCUUGCUGCGUCAAAUGUCAGGAAAGAAGAGCUGUCUGUGUUCUCCUCCUGUGCCAACCAAUGAAGAAAUGGAUGAAAAAACAACUGCGUGACUACCUAUAGAAAGCCUCCAUCAGAAACAGUAAAAUAAAAAAUAAUCUGUAGGCUAAUUUUUU